UGUGGACUAAGUUCUGUAGGGAAGAGACAGAAAUUGUCUAAAAUGUUCAAAUCUACCUUGUGCAUAUCUAUUGGAUUUUUAAGAGUGUCUGUGGCUCUCUUAAAAUCAUCCGGUCCCCCAUGGCAACCAACAGACACAAUAACUAACAGAUGCAGAAAAAGUGCCCCAUUCAUGUCGCACUUGAUGUUACACUUCAGCCAAAGUCUGGGAUAGAUUCCAUGCUUUCUCUCCUAAAUGGCUUUCCUUCCUCUCACUUCUCUCCCACAAAAUGCAGUAAUUCCACCAGAAGCUGCACAUAACCUACAACUUAAAUUUCCCAAAUAUGGCUUUCUCUUAGUCAAUUCCUUCCUCAUGAAACAGACAGAAGCUCUGACAUCCUCAGAGUGGACAUUCUAGUCCUCACCCUGUUACUCAAGGAUGGACAUGCUCCGGAGUCCUUGUGGUCCCACCUCCCAUAGCCCCCGUGCAAAUCCUGGGCAAAGAAGUAUACCUACCAGCCUUGGAAUGACCGUGUUUAUCUCCCUUCUCUGCCUCUGUUCCACGCCUUUGCUCCAUGCCAUCCAGGCAUCUGAAGUGACUUUCUUGCUUGUCAGUAAAUGACACCUUCCUUAAAAUAAAAUCGUCAACUUUUCAGGUAUUAAAUAAAACACUGACAAUACAAAUAAUACUUUUACUUUUUUUGAAAGAAACAUUUGCAAUACAAACAAUGCUUUGUUUUAAACAAUCAUGUUGGCAAAAUAAAAAGUGAUACUCCUAUGUUAGUCCUCUUACUAAAAAUAUUUUAUUUCGCUAAUCUUUUGAAUUAUAGAUUCGGGGAAGCAGAGACCUACAAAGAAGUCUGCCUUCAAAGACCCUGGCCUGACUCCAUUUGAGAGAGGAAAUUGACCCACAUGUGGGAGGACUGUCCUGAGGCUCCUGUGAGGCCAGGCCAAGAAACUUUAAGAUGGCCAAGAAACCUUGAGAUGGCCAAGAACGCUUUCUCCUGUCUGCUAAGAUUGCCCUCAGAGUUCUGGUUUCCUGUCUGAGGACCUACAUCUUCUUUCAGCCAUUGGCUGGACAGAUGUGGUCUACCCACAGGGCUGUGGUCUCAGCCUUGCAAGCCUCUAUGGAAUAACCACAUUAGAACAUGAUGUGCGUAGGAAAAAUUAUCAAUGUAUAUAAUGGUGAUAAUAUAAUUUUGAAGUCCCUCAACUUGCUGGCUUCUUUUACAUGUUCUUAUACUUACCUUUCCCCCAAUCUUUAGAGGUUUCCAAUUGUCUCAGGGAGGUUUAGGAUUGUUACAGAGGGAAUGCAAAAAAAAAAAAA
RNAcentral lists this long non-coding RNA (1305 nucleotides) under Macaca fascicularis (crab-eating macaque). RNAcentral's name for it is "lncRNA (ENSMFAG00000064600.1)". The record is from RNAcentral. Lineage: Eukaryota; Metazoa; Chordata; Mammalia; Primates; Cercopithecidae.